GCCAGGUGUGAUGGCUCACACCUGUAAUCCCAGCACUUUGGGAGGCUGAGGUGGGCGGAUCACCUGAGGUCAGGAGUUGGAGACCAGCCUGGCCAACAUGGUGAAACCCCAUCUCUA
RNAcentral lists this small RNA (117 nucleotides) under Macaca fascicularis (crab-eating macaque). RNAcentral's name for it is "Metazoan signal recognition particle RNA (ENSMFAG00000059089.1)". Lineage: Eukaryota; Metazoa; Chordata; Mammalia; Primates; Cercopithecidae. The record is from Rfam by way of RNAcentral.